Small nucleolar RNA from Lathyrus oleraceus (garden pea), 107 nucleotides. Lineage: Eukaryota; Viridiplantae; Streptophyta; Magnoliopsida; Fabales; Fabaceae. The record is from RefSeq and is a predicted model, not a curated record.
AUUCCAUGAUAGGGACAUUGUCUCAACAUAUCUUUAAACCUUUCCCAAGCAUCAAAUAAAGAUUCAUCUUCCCCUUGCCUAAAAUAAGUGAUUUCAUUCCUCAUUUU